RNA transcript from Dreissena polymorpha, 4167 nucleotides. It is a transcript of the gene named GATOR complex protein MIOS-like, with no coding region annotated. The transcript is spliced from 26 exons. The record is from RefSeq and is a predicted model, not a curated record. Lineage: Eukaryota; Metazoa; Mollusca; Bivalvia; Myida; Dreissenidae.
AUCGCGAAGCGAUCGGAUUGACUUGGCUUUCAAGUGGUUGUACCACUUUUCCAGUUUCUGUUGUGAGUCUCGUUGUGAGACUCAACAUCAUGAAGAUAUCAUGGUCCCCACAAGACAAGGAGAAAUUCCUGACGUUCACAGCAUCCACUGUUAAACUCUACCAGACAUACAGUUAUUCACAAGGAGAAAUUCUGCCAGAGGGCUCUCUGCAGAUUUCUGAUGAGAGAUAUGCAGCAAACAUUGCCAGUGUGUCAGACUUGCCACAGAUGAAAUGUGUAGAGUGGUUUCCUGGUCAGACGGCAGAUGACAUCAUAGCCAUUGGAUUAGCCUCCCCUGGGAAAAUCCUCCUCUCCAAUUUUGGAAGGAAAGGUGAAAGCGAUUUGAUCAGCAAAGAAUUCUGUCCGAAACACCAACGCCAUUGCAUUUACUUAUCCUGGAACCCGGUCCACACACACUUUUUAGCUGAAGGACUUGACAAGGCCCGCAACGAAAGCUGCAUCUAUAUAUGGGACGUGAAUGCGCGCACAAACAACGACCUGUCAGUCCUUCAAGAUAGAAGAUACAGCUCCAGCAUGGCCGAGGCAUCUGUUGUCAAACCGUGUCUGGAAAUCGGUGCUGGGGAUAUGACAUCAUCAUUUUCCUGGUUCAAGAAAGAGACCUGGACGUUUGUGGCUGGCAUGAAUGGGAAACAGCUCAGAGUGUACGAUUUACGAGAGCCUUCUAGAGCCCAUUUGAUCACCCACAGCAAGAGUGUGUUUGGCGUCUGCAGCGAUCCGUUGCAUGAGUCCAGAGUGGCAGCUUAUUCAGAGAGCCACGUAUCGGUGUGGGAUGUAAGACAGUUUGAAAAGCCAAUACUCGGGAUUCCGACGGAGAGAGAGGUGUUGAAGAUAGCCUGGUGCCCGACCAGGAGCGGAGACUUAGCUGUACUUUGCAAGGGGAGCACCAUAGUAAAGUUGUACGACGUCCGACAUUCCGUGACUGGGACAGAUGAUCUUGAACCCGUUAUCUUCGAUCGAACACUGCAGCCAAACCGACAGCACGCAGUGAACUACUUUGCGUGGCAUCCAACAUGCGAGAAUCGAAUAUCCACAUUGACACCCACAGGCCAUGUGAACGAUAACUUCAUAUUUGAUAAGCUGCCCAUUAGCUUAAAUGCAAAUAUGACCCCUGCCUGGAUCUUCGGUCGUCAGAUCAACAUUCAGACUUAUGAGGCUGAGGCAGACAUGUCGGUGCGCAUCAAGCAACGUGCCAAGCAGGAAUAUGGACUGCAUAGGGACAACUUGUGGAAGAAUGCAGUGGUGGUGGCAGAUGAGCCCAAUCUUCAUGCGCUUUGGCACUGGCUUGAUCUAUCGACCAAACUUCUCAACAAAGAGGAAGUCCCGAAGAAGUUGACGAAGACUGGUCGCUACAUCGGGGUGCUUGACCUUCUCCACCUUCAAGACGCUAUCGAGGAGACAGAGUCAGAGGAGGUGUGCCUAACGUGGCAGUACCCAGACGGUAUUCACGGAGGUGGGCGUGAGAAAAAACCCAUGCUGCAAUACACGAGUAAGGCUAGACUGCGGUGCCUACAAUUGUGUGGUUGGUGGUACAACAAGGAGCCUGAUGACCUAACAGACCCCAUCGAGCUCUUCCUCGACAGUAUGGUGAAUGAAAACAUGGAAUAUGAGCGGGCAGCGGCUAUUGCGCUCUUCAAUUUGAAGAUUGGAAGAGCUGUUGAGAUUCUGAGCAGUGACAUCACUGUGAAAGAUACACCACAACUUGGGCUUGUUGCCAUGGCAUUAUCUGGAUUCACCGAAGAGCGCAACGCAAUGUGGCGUAAAACUUGUACUGAACUUCGACUGUCCAUGAAAGAUCCAUAUCUGCGUGCAAUGUUUUCUUUCCUGGCAAGCGAUCGGGAUAAUUAUGAUGAAGUUUUGAAAGACGAUGUGUGUAUGGCUGUGAAGGACAGAGUGGCCUUUGCCUGCCUAUAUCUGAACAGUUCCAAGUUACUGACUUAUUUGACGGAACUCUGCAAGAAUCUGAAGCAGAAGGGCGAUUUGGACGGCAUACUAUUAACUGGUUUAACCAAUGAGGAGGGACUAGAAUUGCUAGGGAAUUAUGUAGACCUGACCAGCGAUAUACAAACGGCAGCUUUGGCGGUCAUGUACAGUUCACCUAGCGAUCUAUCUCGGAAUGAGCAGGUCUUGAAUUGGAUUGAGGGCUACAGAGAUUUGCUCAACCAAUGGAAAAUGUGGCAUCACAGGGCGAAGUUUGACAUUAUUCAACACGCCAUAGCCAACGAUCAGAACAGGGUUCAAGGGCAGUGCUUUGUGAGCUGCAACUACUGUGGGAAGUCGAUAGCAUGUAACCGGAUCGUUGCGUCACGGUUGCGAUCCAGCACUAGCUCUUACAAUACCAACCAACCUCCCGGAAACAAACCAAAGAACACAAUAUGCCCAGGCUGCCGGAAGCCUCUUCCACGCUGCGCACUCUGUCUAACCAAUCUGGGAACACCGUCUGGGUCAAACCUCCAUCUUCAGGAAGAGAAGUCAGAAUAUGAAGUCAAGCUAUCAUCAUUUGAUAACUGGUUUGCCUGGUGCCAGACGUGUCGUCAUGGCGGCCAUUCUGGCCACAUUACUGACUGGUUCAGAGACCACAAAGAGUGCCCAGUGACUGGUUGCCAAUGUCACUGCAUGACUCUUGACCCAAAUAGUCAAUUAGUGGCUGAUAACUCUGUAUGAUGUGGAAAUUCAGUAAAGUGAAGGACGAGUGGAUUGUCAGGCCUACUGCAGGGCGAGUGGCUCUGAAGAAAAAUCAAGGCCUGAAUAGUUAAUAACGGUAUUAUGCAGGAAUUGGAUAGCAUUACCCUAACAGUCAGUUGAUGGCAGAUGAUAUUUUUAUAAUGCUGGAAUUUAUUUUUCCUUACCUGAAUUGUCUGCCAUUGGAUGCUGCAAUUUGAUAAUCUGGUAAUUAAAAUCAGUUAAUUGCCUUAUUAGAUUGUAUAAUGCUGUUUGUCAGUGCAUAUGGUCUCAGCCUAGGGACUGAGAGGUCACGGGUUUGAUCCCUUCAGUGGGAGCGUUCUUAAGAUCUCCCCCAUAGACACCAAGUACUGGUUCUAACCAGAAAAGGGACUCUAGAUCAUUUCAAUAAGCCUGAAGCUUUCGAUGCAAUCAUGCUAAAAUAAAUAGAUUUAUAAUAAAUUUAUAAUUAUAUUAUAAUAAUAUAUAGUCAGUUAGCGGCCAAUCACACUUAGUGAUUCAGUAUUCCGAUUCAUGUAAUAAUAAUAAAAAACUAUGAGAUUUACACGAUAUUAAUGAAAAAUGAUAAACAUUGGUUUGCAUUUAUUUUUCCAAAGUGUGCUACAAAAUUUAAAGAAAAAAAUAACAGACUUUUUGUGUCACUAAGGUUUGGUGAAAACUUGCCAAUCUUUUCAAAUUGAUGCCAUGUACUUUUUUGAUUAUGAAAACUGUUUCUUUGUCUGGCUCCUGCUUCAAUAGAUAAUGAUAGAUCUCACCAUUUCAGUCUGUGCAAGUGAUUUCCAGUUCAUUCAAUGAAGGUUGUUUCGUUUCUUAUGUGUGUGGGUGAUAAAUCAAUUAAUUAUUUUUUAUGCUGAAAAGUUAUCUUUAAAACGGAGAUGUCUUCUGUUAAUGCUGGAACUAUUUGUGUUUCGCACGAAUUCAGCUUACUAGAUUAACAUACUGUCCAUUUAUCAAGGUACUGUGAUUUGAAUUAAAAAUUAUUUUUAAAUCCUUUAUCGUUCACAUCAUUGGAAAUGUAUUUUCUCUUGUGUUACAUUUCUGAUCAACAGGUUUACAUUAUGUUACAGACAACUUGUGUGAUUUGUGUUGUUUUUUUACUAUUUAUAGGUGCAGUAAUGUAGUGUUACACUGAAAGAUAAUUAUGCUAGGCAAAGCUUUUUUAUUUAAAAAAAAAAAUCGCUUGUGUAAUGUGACUUUUAUUUGACACACCAUUUUGUUAAAUACUUUGUAGUUAAAUUCCUUAAAUCUUGGAGGAUUUUUUUUUAACGCAAGUUUAAAUAUAAAAAGGGUAUUUAUUUGCUAACAAGUGCUAAAUGUGAGCAUUUCACAUUUUUGUUACUAUUUUGUUGAGGUUUGUUUCAUUAUAGCUACAUGUUUAUGUAUGCCACAAUGUAUACAUGUGUUAUUUAAUGGCUGUAAAACUGUUGUU